RNAcentral lists this ribosomal RNA (309 nucleotides) under uncultured eukaryote. RNAcentral's name for it is "partial 18S ribosomal RNA". It matches the Rfam family "Eukaryotic small subunit ribosomal RNA", at positions 1470 to 1796 of the family's 1831-position model. The record is from RNAcentral.
CCCUUAGAUGUUCUGGGCGGCCCGCGCACUACAAUGGCGCGUUCAUCGAGAACCAAGGUUGAAUUAUUCGAGGUAUUCUUGCAAAACGCGUCUUGAUUGGGAUAGUUCCUUGUAAUUGUUGGUCUUGAACGAGGAAUUCCUUGUAAGCGUGGUUUAUCAUCCCACGUUGAAUGCGUCCCUGCCCUUUGUACACACCGCCCGUCGCUCCUACCGAUGAAUUGUCCGGUGAAGUUCAUGGAGAGCUGUUUCACUGAGAUGUGCUUAAAGCGAGAUGAACCUAGCGGUUUAGAGGAAGGAGAAGUCGUAACA